AAUCCAUGCUGUGGGCACUUCCGCAAAAGAUCCUUGAAUCGCUCGCAUAUAUCAAACAAGGACUCGAGCUCUAUCUAAUCAAAAGAUGAUAUCUUAUUAUGAAGCUU
Dioscorea cayenensis subsp. rotundata (Guinea yam) is the source of this 107-nucleotide small nucleolar RNA. The record is from RefSeq and is a predicted model, not a curated record. Lineage: Eukaryota; Viridiplantae; Streptophyta; Magnoliopsida; Dioscoreales; Dioscoreaceae.